This is a long non-coding RNA of Coturnix japonica (Japanese quail), 1754 nucleotides long. RefSeq lists it as uncharacterized. Lineage: Eukaryota; Metazoa; Chordata; Aves; Galliformes; Phasianidae. The record is from RefSeq and is a predicted model, not a curated record.
AGUCCAUAUGGAUGGUUCUUUGAACAGCUUCAUACAACAGGAAUGCCAUAAGGAUAUAGACCAGCAGCACACUAAUGAUGGCUGACAAUACUUCUGCAAACAGAAAGCUCAUUCCUGGAUCUGUCAGCUUCACUUUCACCAUAGGAAAUGGAAGAAACUAAAGAUGGAGCAUCACUAUGCUGCUGCUGCUAACACAGAAUGGAUGAGAAGAGAAGGGGCCUCUGGAGUUAGCCCUGUCCAGUGUCCAGCUGAAAGCAGGAUCAACGAGAGCAGACUGCUCCGGGCUGUUGAGUUAGAAGUUUUUCCAGCAAGAGAGACUCCAUGACCUGUCUGGGCAGCCUCAUCUGGUGUCUGACAACAUCCUGACCCUGGGCAGCAGAAAGAGAGGAGGAAUUGCUGCACGAGUGAGAAGUCACCCCCUCUAUUCUCCAGGGAGAAAAUGGUGGGUGAUAACAGAUAUGGACCACCACUGGAUCAAUCUGGUCAGUACUUUCUUUGGCAGUAAAAUGAGGAAAAAAGUUGUGGAUUUUGUUGCUUGUUUGUUUUUUAAAGUGAGGUGGCAGAAAUCCAAAAGGAUUCCUGUUUGCAGAGUACUUAUGGAGAUCCUGAAUUGAUAAGUAAAAAUUUAUAAAACUCAGUAAUAUGUGAUAAAACUUUUUCCUUAAGAACUAUUUCUGUCAUAAGGCCACGUCAUGAUCCUUCUUUGUACUUUCUGGUUUUUGAAGAGUUACAAAUACAAAAACAGCUCAAACUGUUUUAAAAUGAGGUUAGGGUAUGUCUACACACCAGCAAACAUCCUUGUGGAAAGCAGGAACAAAUGCCGGGGCAUACCUGCAAGGUCAGGUUUAUUAGGGGGAACUCUCAGCACAGAAUUAAAACUUCUUGAAAGAAAAGUUUGUAAUGGGAAAUGCUGGCACUGUUAGUGCUUUCUUGCUAAAGCCCAAAGAUCUUUGCUGGUGUACAGUUAUGCAUUCAUGCAUUAGUGACUACCUGAUGACAAAUGACUAGGAGUGAUGGAGCUGUUGAAUUCCACUGCUGUUCUGGCAGCCAUCAUAAGAAUUUAAAGUAAUAGCAGCACAAGAGCUUUAGAUUCCAUGAAAAAAUACAUCCUAUAGAAAGCACAGAGGUAGCAAGCUGUAACAUCCAGAAGGAUCUAUUUCAUUCAAAUUUUUGGGACAAUGCCCACAAGUCAAGACCUUCAUCUGUACAUUGUAGAUUAUUAAUAUCCAGUACAGAUGGCAAACACAGGAAAGCACCCUUUAUCAUCAUUACACUUCCAAAUGUGAAGUAAUGAGUCCUGAAAUUACACUUCCAACACUCAGUACAUAUUUCUGCUAAUACUUGUUUUUACAAAAACCUAAAAUAGGUGCAAGUUAAGUAACCUUCUGUACUGGACAUGAAGGGACAUCUUCAUUUCUUCUUUGUGCAAGAACAGUGAUUUAUGAGACUUCUUGCAGAGCUGAUAUCUGAUCCUGUGCUCUAUGGAACUUCUUACUUCUGGGAGUCAGCACAGGAUUAAUCAUUAAUCACGUUUCGUAGGACUUUGUUUCCAGAUGUAGCAUUUGUACUGUUUUGAUCAGGAGGUUUAUUCCCCUGUGGCAAUACACCCCAUGUUGUGGAUACACAAAAUACAGACUGUUAAACCUAAAGUUACUUUUAGGUUUAUUACUGAUUUCCUUCCAGUUAUCUCUUCUUCUUGAAUUACAUACUUUUAGCAUUAUUGUUUAAAAUACUGUUACUAGCAAAAGCUGAAA